AGAAACUUCCUCAACCUCUGCCUUCGCUGCAUUAAACUGAAGUUGGAGCUCUUCCCUCCCACUAACAGUGGCCAGGAGUUCAGACCUGCAUUCCAUAAGCUCUUCGGCAAGGGAGUUGCACCUUUCAUGAACUUCAUCGAGUGAAGCCCUAAGCACAGAUAGUUCAUUAUCCAUUUGCUGAAAUUGAUGAUCAUGCUCAGUUUGCAAAUAUGACUGUUCAGUGAGUUGCACUUCCAGUAUAUCCUUCAUACAGCUUGUGAGAAAUAAUUCUUCCCUGAGUCUCUCCUUUAAACGAGGACGACCAUGUUCCAGUGAAAUCAAACUAUCAGUCAAUCCUCUUGACCUAAGCAGCAAUCCAUACUCAUCUUCAUUGAGCCCCUUUAUCACUUCAAUGAGUUGAGAGAGGCUGAUUGGGCAUGCAUCAACAGAAGGAGAUGUAGUGAGGUCAUCAUAUGAAUUUGUCAAUUCAGCUAACUGAGGCUCUUCAUGGCUUUUACCCACAAAUAUAAAAGAAUCCUCAG
Molecule: unclassified non-coding RNA, 521 nt
Filed under: Hevea brasiliensis (rubber tree)
Lineage: Eukaryota; Viridiplantae; Streptophyta; Magnoliopsida; Malpighiales; Euphorbiaceae
Source: RNAcentral